This 438-nucleotide ribosomal RNA is filed under the name Pantoea dispersa. RNAcentral describes it as "bacterial SSU rRNA". It matches the Rfam family "Bacterial small subunit ribosomal RNA", at positions 83 to 517 of the family's 1533-position model. Lineage: Bacteria; Pseudomonadati; Pseudomonadota; Gammaproteobacteria; Enterobacterales; Erwiniaceae. The record is from RNAcentral.
UUUGGGUGACGAGUGGCGGACGGGUGAGUAAUGUCUGGGAAACUGCCCGAUGGAGGGGGAUAACUACUGGAAACGGUAGCUAAUACCGCAUAACGUCGCAAGACCAAAGUGGGGGACCUUCGGGCCUCACACCAUCGGAUGUGCCCAGAUGGGAUUAGCUAGUAGGUGGGGUAACGGCUCACCUAGGCGACGAUCCCUAGCUGGUCUGAGAGGAUGACCAGCCACACUGGAACUGAGACACGGUCCAGACUCCUACGGGAGGCAGCAGUGGGGAAUAUUGCACAAUGGGCGCAAGCCUGAUGCAGCCAUGCCGCGUGUAUGAAGAAGGCCUUCGGGUUGUAAAGUACUUUCAGCGGGGAGGAAGGCGAUGCGGUUAAUAACCGCGUCGAUUGACGUUACCCGCAGAAGAAGCACCGGCUAACUCCGUGCCAGCAGCCG